AUACAUGCAAGUCGAGCGGACGGAAGGGAGCUUGCUCCCGGAUGUUAGCGGCGGACGGGUGAGUAACACGUGGGUAACCUGCCUGUAAGACUGGGAUAACUCCGGGAAACCGGAGCUAAUACCGGAUAGUUCCUUGAACCGCAUGGUUCAAGGAUGAAAGACGGUUUCGGCUGUCACUUACAGAUGGACCCGCGGCGCAUUAGCUAGUUGGUGAGGUAACGGCUCACCAAGGCGACGAUGCGUAGCCGACCUGAGAGGGUGAUCGGCCACACUGGGACUGAGACACGGCCCAGACUCCUACGGGAGGCAGCAGUAGGGAAUCUUCCGCAAUGGACGAAAGUCUGACGGAGCAACGCCGCGUGAGUGAUGAAGGUUUUCGGAUCGUAAAGCUCUGUUGUUAGGGAAGAACAAGUGCAAGAGUAACUGCUUGCACCUUGACGGUACCUAACCAGAAAGCCACGGCUAACUACGUGCCAGCAGCCGCGGUAAUACGUAGGUGGCAAGCGUUGUCCGGAAUUAUUGGGCGUAAAGGGCUCGCAGGCGGUUUCUUAAGUCUGAUGUGAAAGCCCCCGGCUCAACCGGGGAGGGUCAUUGGAAACUGGGAAACUUGAGUGCAGAAGAGGAGAGUGGAAUUCCACGUGUAGCGGUGAAAUGCGUAGAGAUGUGGAGGAACACCAGUGGCGAAGGCGACUCUCUGGUCUGUAACUGACGCUGAGGAGCGAAAGCGUGGGGAGCGAACAGGAUUAGAUACCCUGGUAGUCCACGCCGUAAACGAUGAGUGCUAAGUGUUAGGGGGUUUCCGCCCCUUAGUGCUGCAGCUAACGCAUUAAGCACUCCGCCUGGGGAGUACGGUCGCAAGACUGAAACUCAAAGGAAUUGACGGGGGGCCCGCACAAGCGGUGGAGCAUGUGGUUUAAUUCGAAGCAACGCGAAGAACCUUACCAGGUCUUGACAUCCUCUGACAACCCUAGAGAUAGGGCUUUCCCUUCGGGGACAGAGUGACAGGUGGUGCAUGGUUGUCGUCAGCUCGUGUCGUGAGAUGUUGGGUUAAGUCCCGCAACGAGCGCAACCCUUGAUCUUAGUUGCCAGCAUUCAGUUGGGCACUCUAAGGUGACUGCCGGUGACAAACCGGAGGAAGGUGGGGAUGACGUCAAAUCAUCAUGCCCCUUAUGACCUGGGCUACACACGUGCUACAAUGGACAGAACAAAGGGCUGCGAGACCGCAAGGUUUAGCCAAUCCCACAAAUCUGUUCUCAGUUCGGAUCGCAGUCUGCAACUCGACUGCGUGAAGCUGGAAUCGCUAGUAAUCGCGGAUCAGCAUGCUUCGGGGAAUACGGUUCCGGGCCUUGUUCACACCACCCGUCACAGCACGCGAGUUG
RNAcentral lists this ribosomal RNA (1379 nucleotides) under Bacillus sp. PSM 17. RNAcentral's name for it is "16S ribosomal RNA". It matches the Rfam family "Bacterial small subunit ribosomal RNA", at positions 51 to 1413 of the family's 1533-position model. The record is from RNAcentral. Lineage: Bacteria; Bacillati; Bacillota; Bacilli; Caryophanales; Bacillaceae.